RNAcentral lists this ribosomal RNA (391 nucleotides) under Duttaphrynus melanostictus (Asian common toad). RNAcentral's name for it is "partial 12S ribosomal RNA". It matches the Rfam family "Bacterial small subunit ribosomal RNA", at positions 794 to 1399 of the family's 1533-position model. Lineage: Eukaryota; Metazoa; Chordata; Amphibia; Anura; Bufonidae. The record is from RNAcentral.
GGCUAGCCGUAAACUUUUACUUACACUCAAUCGCCAGGGAACUACGAGCUAAGCUUAAAACCCAAAGGACUUGACGGUACCCCAUAUCCCCCUAGAGGAGCCUGUCCUAUAAUCGAUAACCCACGUUAAACCUCACCAUUUUUAGUUAAUCAGCCUGUAUACCUCCGUCGUCAGCUUACCACGUGAGCGUUAAUUAGUGGGCCUAAUGUUUUUCACCAAUACGUCAGGUCAAGGUGCAGCAAAUGAAAUGGGAAGAGAUGGGCUACACUCUCUAUUUUAGAAAAGACGAAAAACUACCUAUGAAACCUAGUUAGAAGGCGGAUUUAGCAGUAAAAAGGAAUCAGCAUGUCCCUUUUAAUCCGGCACUGGGGUGUGUACACACCGCCCGUCA